This 733-nucleotide ribosomal RNA is filed under the name uncultured bacterium. RNAcentral describes it as "bacterial SSU rRNA". It matches the Rfam family "Bacterial small subunit ribosomal RNA", at positions 35 to 763 of the family's 1533-position model. The record is from RNAcentral.
GCUGGCGGCAGGCCUAACACAUGCGAGUCGAGCGGUAGAGAGAAGCUUGCUUCUCUUGAGAGCGGCGGACGGGUGAGUAAUGCCUAGGAAUCUGCCUGGUAGUGGGGGAUAACGUUCGGAAACGGACGCUAAUACCGCAUACGUCCUACGGGAGAAAGCAGGGGACCUUCGGGCCUUGCGCUAUCAGAUGAGCCUAGGUCGGAUUAGCUAGUUGGUGAGGUAAUGGCUCACCAAGGCGACGAUCCGUAACUGGUCUGAGAGGAUGAUCAGUCACACUGGAACUGAGACACGGUCCAGACUCCUACGGGAGGCAGCAGUGGGGAAUAUUGGACAAUGGGCGAAAGCCUGAUCCAGCCAUGCCGCGUGUGUGAAGAAGGUCUUCGGAUUGUAAAGCACUUUAAGUUGGGAGGAAGGGUUGUAGAUUAAUACUCUGCAAUUUUGACGUUACCGACAGAAUAAGCACCGGCUAACUCUGUGCCAGCAGCCGCGGUAAUACAGAGGGUGCAAGCGUUAAUCGGAAUUACUGGGCGUAAAGCGCGCGUAGGUGGUUUGUUAAGUUGGAUGUGAAAUCCCCGGGCUCAACCUGGGAACUGCAUUCAAAACUGACUGACUAGAGUAUGGUAGAGGGUGGUGGAAUUUCCUGUGUAGCGGUGAAAUGCGUAGAUAUAGGAAGGAACACCAGUGGCGAAGGCGACCACCUGGACUAAUACUGACACUGAGGUGCGAAAGCGUG